CAAAAACAUAGCCCUUGAGAAAAUCAAAGGUGUAACCUGCCCAAUGAUCUUUAAUUUAAAAAUAAUAAAAAUAUUUAAAAAAGAUUUAAAGGACGCGGUAACCUUGACUGUGAUAAUGUAGCAUAAUCACUCGCCAUUUAAUUGAUGGAUAGUAUGAAUGGUUAAACGAAUAUUACACUAUCUAAAAAAUAGAUCUCAUAAAAAUGAAAUAAUAGUUAAGAUGCUAUUUAAAAUUGUAAGACGAAAAGACCCUAUAGAGCUUAACUAUAAUCUCUUGAAAAAAAAUAAAAAUAUUUUUAAAAAGGAGAGAUUGGUAGUUUAGUUGGGGCGACUAUUUUUUAAAAAUAACAAAAAUAAGCAACAUUAAUAAAAAAAUUUACUGUAUAAUAAACAAAUUUAACAGUUACUAAAGUAGGCUAUAAUGACCCAUUAUUACUAUAUAAUAAGAAUAAUGAUUAAUGAAUAAAAGCUACCUUAGGGAUAACAGGAUAAUUUUAUCUAAGAGUUCUUAUCAAAGAUAAAGUUUGUCACCUCUAUGUUGAAUUAAGAUAUCCUAAUAGUGCAGAAGCUAUUAAAGGUAGGUCUGUUCGACCUUUAAAAUCUUACAUGAUUUGA
Molecule: ribosomal RNA, 615 nt
Filed under: Eudendrium racemosum
Lineage: Eukaryota; Metazoa; Cnidaria; Hydrozoa; Anthoathecata; Eudendriidae
Description: partial 16S ribosomal RNA
Rfam family: Bacterial large subunit ribosomal RNA
Source: RNAcentral